UACGGAAGGGGCAAGCGUUGUUCGGAAUCAUUGGGCGUAAAGGGCGCGUAGGUGGUUCUGUAUGUCUACCGUGAAAGCGUACGGCUCAACUGUAUUUUGUCGGUGGAAACUGCAGGACUUGAGGCUGGGAGGGGCUGGUGGAAUUCCCUGUGUAGCGGUGAAAUUCGUAGAGAUUGGGUGGAACACCAGUGGCGAAGGCGCCUGCCUGGCUGAUUACUGACGCUGAGACUCGAAAGCAUGGGGAGCAAACAGG
RNAcentral lists this ribosomal RNA (253 nucleotides) under uncultured bacterium. RNAcentral describes it as "partial 16S ribosomal RNA". It matches the Rfam family "Bacterial small subunit ribosomal RNA", at positions 524 to 776 of the family's 1533-position model. The record is from RNAcentral.